CUAAUACAUGCAAGUAGAACGCUGAAGAGAGGAUUUUGCUCUUCUUGGAUGAGUUGCGAACGGGUGAGUAACGCGUAGGUAACCUGCCUUGUAGCGGGGGAUAACUAUUGGAAACGAUAGCUAAUACCGCAUAACAAUGGAUGACACAUGUCAUUUAUUUGAAAGGGGCAAAUGCUCCACUACAAGAUGGACCUGCGUUGUAUUAGCUAGUAGGUGAGGUAACGGCUCACCUAGGCGACGAUACAUAGCCGACCUGAGAGGGUGAUCGGCCACACUGGGACUGAGACACGGCCCAGACUCCUACGGGAGGCAGCAGUAGGGAAUCUUCGGCAAUGGGGGCAACCCUGACCGAGCAACGCCGCGUGAGUGAAGAAGGUUUUCGGAUCGUAAAGCUCUGUUGUAAGUCAAGAACGAGUGUGAGAGUGGAAAGUUCACACUGUGACGGUAGCUUACCAGAAAGGGACGGCUAACUACGUGCCAGCAGCCGCGGUAAUACGUAGGUCCCGAGCGUUGUCCGGAUUUAUUGGGCGUAAAGCGAGCGCAGGCGGUUUGAUAAGUCUGAAGUUAAAGGCUGUGGCUCAACCAUAGUUCGCUUUGGAAACUGUCAAACUUGAGUGCAGAAGGGGAGAGUGGAAUUCCAUGUGUAGCGGUGAAAUGCGUAGAUAUAUGGAGGAACACCGGUGGCGAAAGCGGCUCUCUGGUCUGUAACUGACGCUGAGGCUCGAAAGCGUGGGGAGCGAACAGGAUUAGAUACCCUGGUAGUCCACGCCGUAAACGAUGAGUGCUAGGUGUUGGAUCCUUUCCGGGAUUCAGUGCCGCAGCUAACGCAUUAAGCACUCCGCCUGGGGAGUACGACCGCAAGGUUGAAACUCAAAGGAAUUGACGGGGGCCCGCACAAGCGGUGGAGCAUGUGGUUUAAUUCGAAGCAACGCGAAGAACCUUACCAGGUCUUGACAUCCCGAUGCUAUUUCUAGAGAUAGAAAGUUACUUCGGUACAUCGGUGACAGGUGGUGCAUGGUUGUCGUCAGCUCGUGUCGUGAGAUGUUGGGUUAAGUCCCGCAACGAGCGCAACCCCUAUUGUUAGUUGCCAUCAUUCAGUUGGGCACUCUAGCGAGACUGCCGGUAAUAAACCGGAGGAAGGUGGGGAUGACGUCAAAUCAUCAUGCCCCUUAUGACCUGGGCUACACACGUGCUACAAUGGUUGGUACAACGAGUUGCGAGUCGGUGACGGCAAGCUAAUCUCUUAAAGCCAAUCUCAGUUCGGAUUGUAGGCUGCAACUCGCCUACAUGAAGUCGGAAUCGCUAGUAAUCGCGGAUCAGCACGCCGCGGUGAAUACGUUCCCGGGCCUUGUACACACCGCCCGUCACACCACGAGAGUUUGUAACACCCGAAGUCGGUGAGGUAACCUUAUGGAGCCAGCCGCCUAAGGUGGGAUAGAUGAUUGGGGUGAAA
RNAcentral lists this ribosomal RNA (1453 nucleotides) under uncultured organism. RNAcentral describes it as "SSU rRNA". It matches the Rfam family "Bacterial small subunit ribosomal RNA". The record is from RNAcentral.